This 497-nucleotide ribosomal RNA is filed under the name uncultured bacterium. RNAcentral describes it as "partial 16S ribosomal RNA". It matches the Rfam family "Bacterial small subunit ribosomal RNA", at positions 28 to 507 of the family's 1533-position model. The record is from RNAcentral.
GAUGAACGCUGGCGGCGUGCCUAAUACAUGCAAGUCGAGCGAACGGACGAGAAGCUUGCUUCUCUGAUGUUAGCGGCGGACGGGUGAGUAACACGUGGAUAACCUACCUAUAAGACUGGGAUAACUUCGGGAAACCGGAGCUAAUACCGGAUAAUAUUUUGAACCGCAUGGUUCAAAAGUGAAAGACGGUCUUGCUGUCACUUAUAGAUGGAUCCGCGCUGCAUUAGCUAGUUGGUAAGGUAACGGCUUACCAAGGCAACGAUGCAUAGCCGACCUGAGAGGGUGAUCGGCCACACUGGAACUGAGUCACGGUCCAGACUCCUACGGGAGGCAGCAGUAGGGAAUCUUCCGCAAUGGGCGAAAGCCUGACGGAGCAACGCCGCGUGAGUGAUGAAGGUCUUCGGAUCGUAAAACUCUGUUAUUAGGGAAGAACAUAUGUGUAAGUAACUGCGCACAUCUUGACGGUACCUAAUCAGAAAGCCACGGCUAACUACGUG